This 450-nucleotide ribosomal RNA is filed under the name uncultured bacterium. RNAcentral describes it as "partial 16S ribosomal RNA". It matches the Rfam family "Bacterial small subunit ribosomal RNA", at positions 354 to 796 of the family's 1533-position model. The record is from RNAcentral.
GUGGGGAAUAUUGGACAAUGGGCGAAAGCCUGAUCCAGCCAUGCCGCGUGUGUGAAGAAGGUCUUCGGAUUGUAAAGCACUUUAAGUUGGGAGGAAGGGCAGUAAGUUAAUACCUUGCUGUUUUGACGUUACCAACAGAAUAAGCACCGGCUAACUUCGUGCCAGCAGCCGCGGUAAUACGAAGGGUGCAAGCGUUAAUCGGAAUUACUGGGCGUAAAGCGCGCGUAGGUGGUUCAGUAAGUUGGAAGUGAAAUCCCCGGGCUCAACCUGGGAACUGCCUCCAAAACUGCAUGACUAGAGUACGGUAGAGGGUAGUGGAAUUUCCUGUGUAGCGGUGAAAUGCGUAGAUAUAGGAAGGAACACCAGUGGCGAAGGCGACUACCUGGACUGAUACUGACACUGAGGUGCGAAAGCGUGGGGAGCAAACAGGAUUAGAAACCCCGGUAGUCC